Long non-coding RNA from Callithrix jacchus (white-tufted-ear marmoset), 17772 nucleotides. RefSeq lists it as uncharacterized. Lineage: Eukaryota; Metazoa; Chordata; Mammalia; Primates; Cebidae. The record is from RefSeq and is a predicted model, not a curated record.
CCUCCACAAGCAGGAGCUCUCAAGGGUGACAGUCCGCGUGGGGUUGCCAUGCGAGGCAGUACGCACGCCACAUACAAGGCAGGAGGUCUCUCGCUGCUGGCCAUGCUGCCUACAGCCCGCGCACUUGUUAGAGUCUCACACUGUCACCAGGCUGGAAUGCAGUGGCACGAUCUCAACUCACUGCAACCUCUAUCUCCUGAGUUCAAGCAAUUCUCCUGCCUCAGCCUCCCAAGUAACUGGGACUACAGGCACCCACCACCAUGCCCAGCUAAUUUUUGUAUUUUUAGUAGAUACGGGAUUUUACCAUAUUGGCCAGGCUGGUCUUCAACUCCUCACCUCAGGUGAUCCACCCAUCUCAGGCUCCCAAAGCGCUGGUAUUACACAGAUGAGCCACCACUGUCUGGCUGACAACAUCAUUUUAAUGGCUACACAGUAUGUCCAAUGCAUGAACACAUCAUCAUCUAAUAAAUCACUUUUUGAGAGUCAUUUAGCCUCUUCCUUUUGUGGCAGUGAUGCCUCAUGUCAUAAUAAACAUUCUUUUACAAGAUCAUUAUAACUCUGCACAGUUAUCUGUGCAGAAAUUAUCUUAAGAUAAAUUUCUAGACUUGGAAUUGAUUUUUUUUUUUUUUUUUUUUGAGAUAUAAUCUCACUCUGUCACCUAGGCUGGAGUGCAGUGGCACAAUCUGGGCUCACUGCAACCUCCACCUCCUGGGUUCAAGCAGUUCUCUGCCUCAGCCUCCCAAGUAGCUGGCACCACAGGUGCCCACCAUCACACCUGGCUAAAUUUUUGUAUUUUUAGUAGAGACAAGGUUUCACCUUCUUGGCCAGGCUGGUCUUGAACUCCCAACCUGAGAUCCACCUGCCUUGGCCUCCCAAAGUGCUGAAAUUACAGGUAUGAGCCACCACACCCAGCCAGAAUUGAUUUUAAUAAAGCCGGACCAUUUUCAGAAAGACUGUACCAGUUACAGUCUCACUAAUAAUACUGUUUAUCACCCACAGCAGGGCCAAAACAUCAGAUAUAUAUUUCUUAAUCCUUGGUAAUUUAAUAAGGAAAAAAUGGUAACUCGUGCUUUGUUUGAAUUUUACUGACUUUAAUUUAAUGAAAUAAUAGUGUUUUGAAAACUCCCUUGUGGAUGUUUAACCCACAGGCCUUGCCUUUUCAAUCACAAUACUCAUGGGUUUGUAUUGUGAUGAUUUACUCUUGGCACCUCUGUCUCUUUAUAUUAUGCCUUUGUAGUCCCAUAACCAUCUUAGCAACAUUAAUAACAGGGAAAAACUGGAAACUAAAAUAUCCAAAAGGAAGACUGUUUAAUUGGCUUAAUAUACAAUACAGUCCUUUCAAUGAGGUAGGUCUCUAUUCACUGAGGGCUGAAUAACUGAAGGGCAUUCACAAUUAAAAACAGGCUUGAGAACAAACUCUAUAAUCAGUCUUUCUGUGUCUUUCUCUAUUUCUGUUUCUCACACACUGACACAUUUAAACAAAUAUUCACACAGUUUGAAUGGAUAAUAAACAGUAAUUGAUCAUAGUUGAUAAAAUUCCAGGUGACUUCUUCUUGCUCUUCUGUUUUUAUAAUAGCAUGUAGAAUUUGUACAAAUUUAAAAUAAUUUUUUUUUCCUGCUUGUAAAACAACACUAACAAUUUGUUAACAAUAUUUAUUUGCCAACCAAAAGCUCAGAAUGAAAUUUGAAACUCAUUUAUAGCUACCAUUCUGGUCCUUACUACACAUAUAUUCAUUUUCUAAAUUUCUGACUGAAUUUCUAUUUUGUUAUAUCACUACUCUUGUAGUCAAUUACCUUGCAUUGUUGGUGGAGUGUGGCAGAAACAAAAGAUCCCUGAAAUGAAAGAAAGGACUGAAUCGUCAAAGCAAUGGGCCCAGCAAAGUGCCAAAUAACAAAGAAAAAAAAAUACUCUUUAAUACAACCUAUGGAAGAGUCUGAAUUCCAAAGAUAAAGAAGAUUUCCUAUAAGAUUCCAAAGAGAAGGCAGAAAAAAGAAACAAGUUAUCGAUACAGGAAAUAGAAUCGGACCAAUGGAAUUCUUUGUCAGCAGCAAUCCAUACCCAGAGAGUGAAGCAGUUUAGACAACACUAACAUGGAAAAAAACAAUGGAUGUGGUGGCUCACGCCUAUAAUCCCAGCACUUUGGGAGGCCAAGGUGGGUGGAUCACGAGGUCAAGAGAUCAAGACCAUCCUGGUCAACAAGGUGAAACCCCGUCUCUACUAAAAAUACAAAAAUUAGCUGGGCAUGGUGGUGUGUGCCUGUAGUCCCAGCUACUUGGGAGGCUGAGGCAGGAGAGUUGCUUGAACCCAGGAGGCGGAGGUGGCGGUGAGCCGAGAUCAUGCCAUUGCACUCCAGUCUGGGUAACAACAGCAAAACUCCGUCUCAAAACAAAAUGGAUGCCAGAAUUCUAGAUCCAAAACACAAAUCUCAGAGAGAAAAAAACAACUGAUUUUAGACAUGUACAGAUAUUGCACAUAUGAGCCUUUCUGAAAAACAUUACUCCAGAAAAUAUUCUAGUGAAACCAAAGGGAACAAUAUGAAGACAGAGCUGAUGAAUGGAAAUGCAAAAGUGAACUGAGCCAGAAAGCCACGCCCUGUCCAGGUGAGAAAUAAACACCAGGCAACUGGUAAUGCCUGAGAGAGGCCUCCUCCACUGCCAGAAGCACACACACAAUUCAUGGGAGAAUGAAUAGGGAAGCUUAUGAUACAGUCAUCUAAGAGGUUAAGAGGCACUCAGUGACAUGCCUUAGGAGCCAGGAUCUGGGACACGUUAUUUUCUACAGUUUCACAGAAAAGAGGAGAAUGCCAUGAUGAGUAUGUGGAAGCCCACGUAAAUUCUGUAACUGUUACCGUUUGUUACCUCUUCUUUCCUUCUUUCAGGUAUGUAAAUACAUACACAUAUAUCUGUUUUUUCCCCCCUGCUGAACCAUGUAUAAUAAGUUGUACACCAAAGAAAUAAAAGUAAAAGAUGGUUGGUUCCAGGAUGAAAUUAUGAGGGUUGUAGUGAUUAAAAAAAAAAGUAGUGUAUGUUCAAGCCACUAAGGAAAAUAAUUUAGGAAAAGAAUCAAUCCAGUAAAAGCAAAGAAAAAGGAAGAUAAAAGAACGAUAAACCUUUACACAUGAUAUACUCUACUACACAUUCUGCAAAUUACAAGACAUGUGAAAACAGUGCAACCUAUGUUGGGAGAAUUCAACCCUCCUCUGAACCUGAUGGAUCAAGUAAUCAAAAAAGUAGAGAGAAAGGAUCUGCCUUCCCAGCAUUCCCAACUGGCCUGGCACAUCAGGGAGACCCUUAAGCACAGCCUCCUCAUUGUGCCCUGGCAGUCAGAAAAUGUUAUGCCCAUCUCCAAAUUACUCUGUCACUCACCCAGAUGUGUGCCUUGGGGAACUCCACUCUCCACCAUCCAGGGGUUUUCCCCUUGCUCUAAGUGGGAGAUGACCUUUGGCUUGGAAAAGAGAAUCCCUGUUCAUGAACAAGAAAGAGACAUGAGUGGCCAUCAUGGCAUGCAGGUCCAGCCCGAGAAUGCCCAGGACAGAGGGGCAGUACCAGGAAGGAGGAGGUUUGUUCUGAGAGGGGCUUAAAAUUGGGCUUCUAGAGGAUGAUCAGGAGAUGGUCUCAGGAAGAAAAUUAGGCCUCUGGUUGUGCACUCCUCUCAGCAGGAACAUCUUCUGGGGCUCAGGGAACAGAGCUCAGUGGGCAAAGGACAGGAAAAGCAGAGAAAAGAUGCCCUUCAUCACCUCUACUAAGCCAAGGUCACUCAGUACAAAAAAGGGAAUGGCAAUGGCCACACUUGGAGCGUGCCUGUGGGUCGACUUGGCCAAGCUCUCCAAAUGCUCCCCCUGGAGAGUGCUAAGGCGCUCUUGUGGCAGAUUCUGCAUCAGGAGGAAAGCUCCUUACCCAGUGAGACCAGGCUGCUGUAGUUCUCCAGCAUCACCUCCCUGUACAAGGCUCUCUGGGCAGAGUCCAGGUGCAACCACUCAUCUGGGCUGAAGAACACGGCCACAUCCCUGAAUGUCACAGACUCCUGGAAGGCAAACCCAUUCCUGCUCACCCAGGACCAUCCCCACAAUGGGACAACUGAGAAGCAACCCUGUCACAACUUAGGGUUCUAAGUAUUUAAAGUAUUUCUGGACAACUUUUUGGUUACCAAGCACAUGUUUAUCAUUUACCUAUAGUGAGUGAAACACUGUCCCCUUAGGAAGCCUGAACAAAGAGGCCAAACAAGAUAAGCCCUUGAAAAUCAUGAAACAAAAUUAGAGCAAGAAAACAUUGAACUUUAGAUUUGGAAAUGUCCAAUCACCUAGACCAAACUCUCAUUUACAGGUGACACCUGAGAGUCAAGUUUUGGAAGGAGGCACCAGCACAUUCAUGUAGGGAGGUAUAGGUGGAACACCACCUGGCUUGCCUGAGGGGCGGUCACUGAGUCCUAGUUCUGCCUCAACUUAGGCCCAUCUCUGAGUCUUGGGAAAGAGGACACUGACAUUCAUGUAGGGAAGACUAUGAGAAUGUCCCAGGCAUGGCUGUGCCAGGAGAGGUCCCAAGUGGUGGGCCACAUAACCUUUCAAGCCAGAGGAGGCUAUGGUCAGGAGUCUCCCUCCCCACCCAGAAGCUCCUGUUCUUCUACCUCUCCUCCUUCAGUAAAUGGCGUGUCACUGCUCUGAACUAGGGCCACCUCCCCUUCUUUCCAUAUUAAGAGUCAUCUUGGCUGGGCACAGUUGCUCGUGCCUAUAAUCCCAGCACUUUGGAAGGCCAAGGUAGAAGGAUUACUUGAGCCUAGGAGUUCAAAGACCAGCCUGGACAACAUAGGGAGACCCCAACUUUGCACAAAAUAAAAUGCUUUUAAUUAGUUGGGUGUGGUGGCAUGUGCCUGUAGUCCCAGUUAUUCAGAAGGCUGAGGCAGAAAGCUUGCCUGAGCCCAGGAGGUUGAGGCUGCAGUGACAUGUGAUCACACCACUGCACUCCAGACUGGGCAACAGAGUAAGAUCCUGUCCCUUAAAAAACAAAACAAAAAAAGAAGAAUCAUCUUCUUUAAAAAGCUUAUUAGAAAAUUAUAAAAGAUCAAUAAGCAAAAGAACAAGAAGUGUUCAUCUAACUUUCUACAACCAGAAAAAGUUAACUUUUUGCUAUGUCUCUUCAGAUGAUUUCCAUGCAAAUAUGGUUCUAUAUUUAAAUAAAAAUAAAACUACAUAUACAAAUAAUUGCAUUCUAGUCAUCACUGUUUACAUGCUGCCCAGUAUUUCACUGUAUGAUCAAGUUCCUUUAACUCACCUAGUAGUGGAUGUUUAGGUUGUUUCUACUUUGUUAAUACUCUAAAAAUGCUGAAUUGCGUAUCCCGUACAUCACCAGAAAGGCAUACAAAGCUUAUUUCUCUCAGACUCAUUUCUAGAGGUGUAAGUGUUAGGUCACAGCUUCUUUCUCUUUACCAUCUCCAAGGUUUGUCCCCAUAAAACCAGGAAAGGGGUUGAAAAGCCAGGCACAUUCCCUGACUUGUAAGGGCAAAGGCAAAAUAAAAACCAGAGGCUGGAUUCUCCCUAUUGGAAACAAGGGAAAAGAUAUUCCCCAUCAUCCUCUUUUCUUUCACAAUUUCUUUAUUUUUCCUUUUGAAAUGUAUGUAAAUCAUUUUAAUGGCUAGACACUUGCCAGUCUCACAACUCAGGAAAAUUUCCUCAAGAAACUGCUAGCCAUCUCUUUGAAUUUCAUCAUCAAGGAAGAUGUUCAAAGAACAGAGGCCAUUAGGCUGAGGUGGCUCUAACACCCUGGAUUCCUAACAAAUGAAACUAAAGCUCAGCCAAUCAGAAGCACACUCACUGAGCACGAGUUACAGUAUAGGAACUGUGCAAGAGACACAGUCCAAAUCAAAAACUGCUCAAACUUUCACCAAAUAGUUUCUUUGCUCUGCCUCCUCAUUCACCCUAUAAAAGCUUUCCCCUUUCCUCCUUUGGUCAGAGCCCAGAACCUCUUCUGGUUUAGAGCUGCCUAACGUCUGCCCAAAUAAACUCUAACAUCUUAAUAUACCAAAGUUUACCUCUUAACAAAGAAAACUAAUCUCUCAGUUUCCUGGGAAGAGAUGGACCUAACUUGUCACUGACUCCAAACUGCAAAACCUACCCAAUGCAUUGGGUUGCAUUCACUUAAGAUAUAAAGGUUUUCUGUCUUUGCAAUCUCUUUAGUGCAUUGCCUGUGAUGUGUAUCACAAUUGGGUUUAAUAAUUCUUCAAUAAUAAAAUUUCUUUUCUACAUUUGUGGAGAGGUUUUCUGGGUUGGAAGAUUAUGUUCUUAAUCGUAUUUCCCUAACAAUCCGUCAAUGAUACAGAGUAGGUGCCACAAAAAGGCACAGAAUGGAAGAAACCACUGUGGUCCAGGAGGCUUCUCAUCUCAGGGAUGGCUCUCUUCCCCAAAUCUGCCCCCAAACCAUGGCCUAAGCUAUGAUUUCCUCUAGAUGCCAUCCAUUCACCAGCUAUACAAGCCUGGUGCCAUCAUGUGAAUCCAGUAUCACACACUAUUAGUGAGUUUCUGAAACUACAACUGCUGAUAAGGAAGUUUCUUUCUCUGAUCUUUCUAGAAAAUCACCUGGACCCUUAUCAUCCAACACAGCCAUGCAGCACAUAACAACAGAGAUACACUCUAAGAAAUGUGGUGUUAGGCAAUUUCAUUGUGGUAUAAACAUCACAUGGUGUUACUUACAGGAUCCUAGACAGUAUGGCCUAUUGCUCCCAGGCUAUAAACCUGUACUGCAUGUUACAGUACUGAAUACUAUAGGCAAUUGUAACACAAUGCUAUGUGUGUAUCUAAACACAGAAAAGGUAAAAAUAUAGUAUAAAAAUGAUACAUCUUGUAAAAAGAAAAUAACAUUUCAGAACCUUCCCAAUUUAUGACACCAAAGGAAAAAAGUUAAGCCUGGAAACUGAGUUACAUAAUAUGGUUGUUUGCCUUUGGCUCAUGACAAUUGCUUCCUGACCUUUGUGUUGAGACAUUACACGUUAAUCCAACUCCCUGUGCUUUCCUCAAAAAUAAAUGAUGUUGGUAACAGAGACCCUGGUGAUUGUUACCUCCUUACAAUGUUAAGCAAGCCCAAGAGUGUAAUCAAUAGCAGGCAAUCAACCCCUACAUCUGUAUGCUAGCCUCUGUGUGAUAGCACCUGUAUGCUAGCACCUCCGUUUUCGUCUAUAUAAAUUAUCCCUUUUCCCCACACCAGCACUAAUCACUAUUCUUUGGUGUCUGUAUGUGUGUCCCCUGACAGCUGCCUUCACACUUUGCGCUUAAAUAAACUCUUAACUGGAUCCUGAGCCUUUUGAUUAUUUUAGGUUGACAAUCUGUAUAGGUAACUUGCCAUGAAUGGAGCCUGCAGGAGUGGAAUUUACUCUGGGUGAGUGAGUCAGUGGUGAGUGAAGGCCUAGGACAUUAUUGUACACUCCUGUAGACUUUAUAAACACCAUACACUUAGGCUACACAAAAUGUAUCUUAAAAAAAUAAAGUAACUGUGCUACAACAACAGUUAUGACAUCAUAGGGAUAAAAAUGUUCAGCCCUAUUAUAAUCUUAUGGGACCACCCUCAAUGCUCCCUGGACUGACUGUACUUCCAUAUUUUUAUUAGUCCUCAGUUCCUGGAGGGCAAUCUCAGCUCACUGCAACCUCUGCCUCCUGGGUUCAAGAGAUUCUCCUGCCUCCGCCUCCUGAGUAACUGAGACUACAGGUGCGUACCACUAUGCCCACCGCACCUGGCUUUUUUUUGAGAUGGAGUCUCAGUGAGCCACCCAGGCUGGAGUGCAGUGGCAUGAUCUCCACUCAAUGCAACCUCCACCUGCUGGGUUCAAGUGAUUCUCCUGCCUCAGCCUCCAAAGUAGUUGGGAUUACAGGCAGGCAUCACCAUGCUCAGCUAAUUUUUGUAUUCUUAGUAGAGAUGAGGUUUUACCAUGUUGGUCAGGCUGGUCUCUAACUCCCUACCUCAAGUGAUUCCCUGGCCUUGACCUCCCAAGUGCUGGGAAUACAAGGCCUCUCUUUUUCAAAUUCUCAGUGUUAGAAAGGAACUAUUUGACUCCUCCAUGUCUUUGUCCUCCACGGGGCAAAAACAUACCUGGAUCUUUCACAAAGCUCUGGGAGUGGCAAUGGCAUGGGGCUGGAGCUCCAUUAAAUUCUUUGUCAAAAAGUGUAAGACGGGGCUGGGUGCCGUGGCUCAUGCCUGUAGUACCAACACUUUGGGAGUCUGAGGCGGGCAGAUUGCCUGAGGUCAGGAGUUCAAGACCAGCCUGGCCAACACAGUAAAACCCAGUCUCUACUAAAAAUAUAAAAAUUUGACAAGCAUAGUGGCACAUGCCUGUUAUCCCACUUACUUGGGAGGCUAAGGCAGGAGAAUCGCUUGAACCUGGGAGGUAGAGGUUGCAGUAAGCUGAGAUCGCACCACUGCACUCCAGCCUGGGCAACAGAGCAAGACUCCAUCUCAAAAAAAAAAAAGGUAUAAGACUGGGCAGGCACAGUGGCUCAUGCCUGUAAUCCCAGCACUUUGGGAGGCCAAGGAAGACAGACUGCUUGAACUCAGAAGUUUGAGAGCAGUCUGGGCAACAUGGGGGAAACCCUGUCUCUACAAAACAUACAAAAAUUAGCUGAGCAUGGUGAUGUGCACCUGUAGUCCCAGGUACCAGGAAGGCUGAGGCUGCAGUGAACCAUGUUCAUGCCAAUGCAUUCCAGCCUGGGUGAUAAAGUGAGACCCUGUCUCAGAAAAAAAAAAAAUGUAUGAGACUGGCUGUGAAGCAAGGGAAACCUCUUCCUUCCAGAGUUCCUCGGCUACCAAGGCCUCCAGUCCUUCCCUGAGCUUCACUGGUUAGAGAAGCUCAACAACAGAUGAACAAGUUUACCACCUCUAUAGGGUAUACCCUGAAGGCACUUCAAGCAAAAAGAAGCCUUCACUCACCUGUACCUGGGCUGGCAGCACCCUCCUUGCCAUUUCUCCCUCCCUGCUGCCCCUCUUGGAGAAGGCACCUGGAAUGGAGAAACAAUCUGUGAGGUCUUUUCAUCCCACCUGCAGGCCCACCCUCAUUAGGCCAGACCAGGCAGAAGCCACAAGCUGAGCAACUGCAGAGAAGGAGCCUGGCACUGCCCAGGGAAGAGGGGCCCUGAGCCCGGCCACCUAAACCAGUGUGGGCAGCAGGCACACAGUCACUGGGCCUGCUACCUUUCCACCAUGCUUUAUAAUAAAGACGCAUGGAGCAAAGGGAAUGAAGACCACCUGCUGUGCACUAACAGGGUCAAGGGCACAAUCAGGCAAGGCUCAUCCAGAUGCUGAAGUUAACAGGAAAUGAGACAAUAUUCCACACAUCUGCUGUUGGAUGUUGUUCAAUACGAAAAACAGCAGUUGAAGAACUGACGCCCUUUUUAGGAACAGCCAACCACAAAUUAGUCCUCUUUUCUUCCUCCUUUAAGUUUUACUUUCUUUAUCAAAAACAGUUAUCAAAGCUGCUUAAAGGAAGCGUUACUCAUUCUCCCCACCCCCAAAAAGCAAGGGCUCAAGAGAAUACCAUAACUGGCUACAAAUGGAUUCAAAAUUUAGAGAAAUGGGAAGCAACUUAGCAAGUGGACAAGGUUAUAGUAAAUAAAAAAGGAAAUAGUCAAAUCACUCUAGGACUGACUGUGCAGGAAAACACUGCCAAACGAGCAAGACUGCCAAAACGAGUAAAUGUAAAGUUUAAACUCCGGGAAACGGAGUGGAGGUAAGGUUAAACCCACAAACGCUAAGAGCGGAAAACCUCCCCGAGGGCUCCGACCCCGAAUCGAGGCGGCGUUCUGAGGUUUCUUUCCUGGGGCCGUUUCCUCUGGAGUCUGGCCCAGGCUGCAGCCCAGGCGCCCGGCAGUGGCGGCGCGCUCUCCUGGCCUCCGCAGGGCCCUUCCCAGGCGACGCCCCCUCCGGGGCCAGGUUCACCUGCCGAGGCCGCCGCGGCUGAGACGCCUGGAGCCCAGGCUCGGCGGACACGCGCAGCGGCCGGCCUUCGUCCUGGUCCCGCCGCUGCAGCCGCAUGCCACGGGCACGCCCUCACCUGCAGCCUAUACCCGGGCCCGCCGCGGCGGGGGCGCGCAGCUGUACACCGCACAGGAGGCGAGCGGAACACCUAGCUCCGAGACGUUUCCCGUCGCCGCCGCCAGCCGCCGGACUCAACUGCGCUUGCGCGUCGGAGAGCCGAAGGUUUUCCCCGGCUGAACCGCCAGCGUUUGUCCCUCCGGACUUCAUUUCCCAGACGUCGUCGCGGCACCACCCCCUAUGGUGUCCAAGAGGAAACCACAGCGCCGAGACCGGAGAACGCGGUCGGACUGGAGUUCGAGAAGGCUGAAGCCGAGUCCCUCAGCUUGGGCUCCAACUACUUUUCCUCCGCUAAGGCACUCACUGUAUUCGUAAUUAGAAUGACAACAAUAGUAAGACGGAAAAAUGGAGUUUCGCUCUUUUUACCCAGUUGCUGGAGUGCAAUAGCGCGAUCUCAGCUCUCUGCAAGCUCUGUCUCCUGGGUUCAAGCAAUUCUCCUGCCUCAGCCUCCCGAGUAUCUGGGACUACAGGCAUGCACCACCAUGCCCAGCUAAUUUUUGUAUUUUUAGUAGGGAUAGGGUUUCACCAUGUUGACCAGGAUGGUCUCAAUCUCUUGACUUUGUAAUCCACCCAUCUUGGCCUCCCAAAGUGCUGGGAUUAUAGGCGUGAGCCACUGUGCCCAGCCCUCUAACAUUUGUCUUUAUCCAUCUAGAAUUAAUUCUAUGUAUGGUGUGAGGUAGGGAUCCAGUUUCAUUCUUUUUCAUUAUAGUUACCUAAUUUACUCAAAAUCUUUUAUUGAUAAUUUGUCCUUUUCCUUAUAAAUUUAAAAGUCAGUUUUCCAUAUAUAUGGAUUUCCAUUAAUAAAUUUUCCAUAUACAUGCAUAAAUUAUUUUAAGGACUCUGUAUUCUAUAGAGUCCAUCUAUAUGUUUAAAUCUGCACCAUUUUUAUUGCAUGUAAAUUAAUAUAUUUUUGUGAUACAUCAUCUUGUUUUAUCCUUGAAGAGGCUGAUUAUCUUUAGUCCUUUGAUUUUCAACAUAUAUUUUACAAUCAACAUGUUUCCAUGUGAACAUCUGAAUACCUUUGGGAUAUAGUUUGGGGUUACAUUAAUCUGUAGAUCAAUUUGAAAAGCACCAGAAUUUUUACAUUUUUGGGUCUUGCUAUCUAUAGACAUUUUAACCACCCAAUUUAUCUAGUUCUUCCUUAAGUCUUUAAAUAAAGUGUCUUAAGAGUCUCCUUAAAGAUUUUUGCCCAUCUUUGUUUAGAUAAUUUCUAGUUAUUCUAUCUAUUUUUGUAGCUCUUAUAAAUGGAAUCUUUUUUUAAGUUACGUUUUCUAACUUUUUGUGCCUGGUAUAUACAAUGCAAAUUAUUUUAGAAUUGCUCUUAUAUUUAUAUAUUAUUUUCUAUGUAGUUAUCAUGGUUAAUUUUAUGUGUCAACUUGACUGGUCUGUGGGGUACCCAGACAUUUUGCCAGUCAGUAUCCUGAGUGUGUCUGUGAGGGCAUUUAUGAAUGAGCUAACAUUUGAAUCAGUGGACUGUGUGAAGCAGAUUGUUUUAAUGCAGUGUAAGUGGGUCUUAUCCAAUCAAUUGAAGCUCUGAACAGAAUAUAAAAGGUGACCUUCUCCCAAGUAAGAGAAAACUCCUCUUGCCUUGACUGCCUUGAGCUGGGACUCAAGAAAAAGCAUCAGUUUUUCUGGAUUCAAACUGAAACAUCAGCUUUGCAUGGGUCUCAAGGCUACUGGCUGGACUGGAACUUACACUACAGGCUCUCCUGAUUCUCAGCUCUUUGGACUCAGACUGGAACUACACCAUGGCUCUCCGGGUCUCCAACUUGCCAACUGUAGAUCUCGGAACCUUUCAUCCUCCAUAACUGCAUGAGCCAAUUCCUUCUAAUAAAUCUAUAUUAUAUAUCUGUCUAUAUGAUAAGUAAAUAACUCUAUGUACUUAGGUAACCCUGUAUGUUACAUCUAUCUAAUCAAUCUAUCUGUCUGUCUAUCUAUCUGUCUAUCUCUCUAUCUCUCUAUCUCUCUAUCUAUCUAUUCUUUGUUGUCUCUGGAGAACCCUAACAUAGUAAGCAAUCAUAUAAUCUGCAAAUGAUGAAAGGUGUGUAUUUUCCAAAUCAAUCAUGAUACUUCAUUUUUUCUUGCACUGACUAGUGCCUCCUAGAAGGAAUGAUAAUUGAAAUUAUUGUCUUGCUCUGAUUUAAAGGAAGUAAAUACUUCAAAUAAUUCAUCAUGGAAUGCAAUAUUUUCUGUAGGCUUUUAGUAGAUAACUUCAUCAUUUUAAAGAGGAUCCUUAGAUUAUGAAACACUUAAAAUUAUGAAUGAAUAUUAGAUGUUAUCAAAUGCUUUUUCUGCAUCCAUUUAGAUGAUCAUGUUUUUCCUUUAAUCUGUUAAUGCAGUGAAUUACAUUAAUAGAUUUCCUAAGUCAUUAAUCUGCUAAAGUGCAUUUCUGGGACAAACCAGACUUGGUUAUGACAUUUAUGUAUUUCAGUUUGCAAAUAUUGGACUAGGAUUUUUGUAUCUAUAUUCUUUAGUUUGGCCUGUAAAUUUUAUUUCUUGUACUAAGUAUUAGCCUCAUGAAAGGCAUUGUCAAAUGUUUUCUUUUUUUCUAUUCUGAAAUUGUUUGGUGAAAAAACAUAUUUUGUUCCAGUGCAUUUCUGUACCGUGGAUUAGUUUAAUGGUAUGUGGAAAGUGUCUUGGUUUGUAUGGGAUUUUCCCCCAGCACAUUAAUAUUUUACACUCAAAGUAAGAGGAUCUGAAUUCAGGCAAACAACACAGCUAAGAGAGUAUAACUCAAGAAUAUGAGUCUCUGCCUGUUGUGACUUUGACUCAGUCCCUCCCAACUUAGUGUGGCCCCUUGUUCUCUCACAAACAUUUCUGUUUGGUCUUUAUAACUCAGUGGCAUCAAUCUUUCAUCAUAUCAUUUCUCUCCAAUAUACUUUCAUCUUUCUUAAAAGGUCAAGUUCCCAGUUUAAUAUAGUAUGUUUGUAGAGAUAUGCACAUAUGUAUGUGUGUUUGUAACAAUUUAUCAUGCCCUUUUAACUUUGCUGUUAUUUUUCAUUAGGAUUGUGGUUUUCAUUAGUGUUCUGGUUCCAAACCUCCUUAUGAUUUGAAUGGUCUGUUACAAUCCUAUUAUUCCAAUACCCUCUGUUUAUUUUUUGUCUGCAGUACAACACAGUAAUUUUCAGAAAUACCUAUACUAUAGUCUAGCAGAAACACCUUAGUCAUUCCUUGUUUGGUGGCAUUUGUCUGCACCUGGAUCUUCACUUGCUGUCCCCUCUGCCAAAAUAUUUUCUACCAUAAAGGCCUUUUAUAUACCAAACUUGGUAUCCACAUGCAAAAGGAUGAAGUUGGACCCCUACCUCACACCAUAUACAAAUAUUAACUCCACAUGGAACAAAGACCUAAAUAUGAGAGCUAAAGCAAUAGAAAACUAUAUAGGUGGUGGUUGCCCAACACUGUGAAUACCCUGUGAUUAUAGAAUGGAAAACUACAACAACCAGUUAGGCAGGACUACUCAUGACCAACCCCUUUAGGAAUAAAAGUUGGGGUAGCCCCAUCAGGUUAAGAUCCACAACCAGCUGAGGUGUUUGCUGAGGGCAAAAGGAAUAUGGAAUGGGUAGUGGAAGACUGGUCAUGACUAAAUGACCAGUGAUGGAAAUUAGGACUGUACUUAUGAGUAUUUUUUCCUUGUUUGGUUAUAAAUAUGUUUUGGUAAUACUUCUUCCCUCUCUUAUCCCUCAUUAUGUACUGUACAAUGUGUUGACUUUAUGUCAUAGUAUUUGUUAACUUUACAUCAUAGUAUUAAAGUUAUGCGAUAUCAAGGAGAAGAACAAACAUCACCUAAACACUGUAUCUUCUUCUGAGGAAAGGGUUAGCGCACUUUCAAUUGUAUGCAGGGGUUUAUCAUGUUAGGAAGAAGUAUGACCUUGUUGUUGUCCUGGUUUGGAGAUUAAGUAUGGUUUAAGCAGAUACAUAUGAAUGCAGGUUGACAAGUGGUAGACUUCUGAUGGUUAAUUCUAUGUGUCAACUUGUCUAGCCCACAAUACUGAUAUUUAGUUAAAUAUUAUUUUAGAUGUGUCUGUGAGAGUGUUUUUGGAUAUUUACAUAUAGAACAGUGGACUUUGAGUAAAGCAGAUUGCCUUCCAUAAUGUGGGUGGGCAUCAUCCAAUCAGCUGAAGGCCUGAUUAGAGCAAAAAGCACACCACACCAGAGCAAGAAGAAAUUCUGCCAGCAGAUGGUCUUCAGACUUGAACUGCAACACUGACUUUUCUUGGGGCUCCAGUCCGCGAGCCCACUCUGCAGAUUUUAGACUAGCUAGCCUCUGUAGUCACACAAGUCAAUUCCUUAAAACAAAUCUCUUUCUUUCUCUCUCUCUCUUUCUCUCUCAUUCUCUCUCUCUCUCUCUCUCUCUCUCUGUGAGUGUAUAAAAGUUCUGUACAAAUUUUAAAUGUUAGACCCUUAUCAGAUGUGUAGAAUGUAUUGAAUGUUUAAAAAUAUUUUCUACGAUUCCUGGUUUCCUUUUUAUAGUUUCUUGAUAGUUUUCUUUAAUGGCCACAGUUUUAAAUUUUAUUUUUAAUUUGCUUUGUUUAAUUAAAAGUUUCCAAUUUAUUAUUUCUUUGAGUGUCUGUGCUUUUUAUGCCAUAUCUAAGCAAUUGUUGCCUACUCCAAGGGCAUAAUGAUUUACCUCUAUAUUUUAUUCUAAGAGUUUUCUGAUUUUAAAUCUUACAUUGAGGUCUUUGAACCAUUUUGAUUAAAUUUUGUGUAUGAUGUGAGAAAAGAGUCCAGAGUCAUAUUUUUGCAUGUAUAUCCAGUUAUCCCAGCACCAUUUGUUAAAAACCAUUUUUUUCCACAUUAAAUGGUUUCACCACCCUUGUCAAAAAUAAGUUGACCAUAGGGUUUUGAUUCCUUCCUUGAAAAUCAACUGACUGAAAAUGUGUUAGAGUACAUUUUUGGACUCCUAAUUUUAUUCCCUUAAUCUAGAUAUCCUUAUGCCCAUACCACACUGUUCUGGUCAGGGCCUCUUGCAAUUACAUAUACAUGUAAGCAUUGGCUUUGCCAUUUCUGAAAAAAUAUUAAAUCUUUCAAGCCAUGAACACAGAGUUUUUAAAAUUUAUUUUAAGUUUUCUUUAAUUUUUUUCAGCCUUAUUUUAUAGUUAUUAGUGCCCAAGUCUCUCACUUUCUUGGUGAAAUUUAUUGCUAGAUAUUUUAUUCUUUUGAAUACUGUUGUGAAAGGUGUUUGAUUUUAAUUUACUUUUAAGAUUGCUUAUUGCUGGUGUAUAGAAGCAUAACUUACUUUCAUGUUGAUUCCAUAUACUGUAAAUUUGAUGAAUUAAUUUGUUAGCUAUAGUAGGUUUUUUUGGUACAUUCUUUGUGAUUUUCCAAAUAAAGGUUCAUGUCAUCUCUGAAUAGAGAGUUUUCUUCUUUUCCAGUAUACAAGUCUUUUAUUUCUUUUUCUUGCCUAAUUGCUCUGGCUAGAACUUCUGGUACAGUAUUGAAUACCAGUGGUGCAGGUGGGCAUUCUUGUGUUGCUCCUGAUUUUAAGGGGAAAGCUUUUCAUCUUUUACCAUUGAGUAUGUUAGCCAUGGGUUUUUCAUACAUUUUCUUUACUGUAUUGAAUGAGUCACUUUUUUAUUCUUAGUUUUCUGAGUGUUUUUAUUCUAAAAGUAUGUUCAAUUUUUAAAAAUGCUUUUCCUGCAUUGAUUGAGAUGCUCAUGUGGCUUUUUUCCCUUCAUUCUUUUAAUGUGGUGAGUUACAGUGAUUGAUUUUCAUAUGUUGACCCACCUUCGCAUUUCUGAGAUUAAUCCCACAUGCUCGUGGUGCAUAAUCCUUUUUAUAUGCUGCUGGAUUCAGUUUUCUAGUAUUUUGUGGAAGAUUUUUUGUAUUUUCAAUUCAUAAGUGAUAUUGGUCUGUAGUUUACUUCCACAUCUUUGUCUGGUUUAGUAUCAGGUUAAUGCUGGCCUCAUAUAUAGAAUGGUUGAGGAAGCGUUCUCUCCUCUUUUGUUGUUGUUCUGGUUUCUUGUUUUUCUUUUUAAGAGUUUGAGAGAUCAAGUUACCCAUAAAGGUAAGCCUAUUAGGCUUACAGCAGAUCUCUCAAGGGAAACCCUACAAGCUAGAAGAGAGUGGGGGCCAAUAUUCAAUAUACUUAAUCAACAGAACUUUCAGCCCAGAAUUUCAUAUCCUGCCAAUUUAAGCUUUACAUUUGAAGGAAAAAUAAAAUCUUUUAGGAACAAGCAAGUACUCAGAGAUUUUAUUACCACCAGGCCUGCUUUACAAGAACUUCUAAAAGAAGCAUUAUACACAGAAAGGAACAACCAGUAUGACCCUUUCUAAAAAUACACCAAAAAGUAAAGAGCAUUAACAUAAAGAAGAAUUUUUAUCAACGAAAGGACAAAAUAGCCAGUUAAUAUCAAAUGGCAGCAACCCUAAAUUUAAAUCGACCAAAUCUCCCAAUCAAAAGAUACAGACAAAAUCUAACGGUAUAUCCAAAGAUAUACAUAGACUCAAAAUAAAGGGUUGGAAAAAAAAAACGUACCAACCAAAUGGAGAGCAAAAAUAAAUAAAUAAAAAGCAGGAGUUGCAAUUUUCACAUUUGACAAAAUAGAUUUCAAAGCCACAAGGAUACAAGGGUAAAAGGAUUAAUGUAAUAAUAAGAGAUCUUAACACCCAGAUACAUAAGACCCAUAAUGAGAUUUAGGUUCAACGAGACAGAAAAUUGAUAACGAUAUCCGGGACUGGAACUAAGAUCCAGAACAAAUAAACUCAAUAGAGCUCUCCAUUUUAAACACACAAAAUAUACAUUAUCCACAAAAUCUAACGAUAUAUCUAAAGAUAUACAAAGACUCAAGGGGAUGGAAAAAAACUCACCAACCAAAUGGAAAGCAAAAAUAAAUAAAUAAAAAGCAGGAGUUGCAUUUCUCACACUUAAUAAAAUAGAUUUCAAAGCUACAAGGAUGCAAGGGUAAAAGGAUUAAUGUAAUAAUAAGAGAUCUUAACACCCAGAUACAUAAGACACAUAAUGAGAUUUAGAUUCAACGAGACAACAAAUUGAUAACGAUAUCCAGGACUUGAACUCAGAGCCAGAACAAAUAAACACAAUAGAGGUCUCCAUUUUAAACACAUAAAAUAUGCAUUAACCACUUUAAACACUCAAAAUAUUGAUCGGCCAUUAUUGAAACCCAUUCUAGGAAUGAAGUAAUAUUCCUUUUUCCCUCUUUUUCUUUUUUUCCCCUUCUUUUUCUCUUUUUCCCUCUAAAAAAAAAAAGUUUGAGAAGGAUGGAUGUUAAUUCUUCUUUAACUGUCUGCUAGAACUCAUCCAGUGAAACAUAGAUUUUUCCUUGUUGGGAGUUUUUUGAUUACUGAUAACAAUACAGGUCUGUUAAGAUUUUCUAUUUCUUCUUGAAUCAAUUUUGGUAGGUUGUGUGUUCCCAGGAAUUUGUUCAUUUCAUCUAGAUUAUCUACUUUGUUAGCAUACAAAUGUUUGUAGUAUUCUCUUAUAGCUUUUUAAAAUUUCUCUAAGGUUGGUAAUAAUGUUCCCACUUUUAUUUCUAACUUUUAGCACUGGGUGAGCACUGAGUUAGAUAAAAUAAAGGCAUCUCUUUCAAAUAGGGUCUUUCAGGGAACACUCACAUGCAUCUGAUAGUGACAACUUUGCAGCUUUAUGUUUUAGGGGAGUCUCUUAUAAGCAACAUUAAACUAGAUUUUGUUUCACAAAAACUUGAAAUUUUUGUCUAUUAACUGAAACAUUAAGCAGAAUUACAUUUA